Molecule: ribosomal RNA, 443 nt
Filed under: uncultured bacterium
Lineage: Bacteria
Description: partial 16S ribosomal RNA
Rfam family: Bacterial small subunit ribosomal RNA
Source: RNAcentral
CCUACGGGGUGCAGCAGUGGGGAAUAUUGGGCAAUGGGCGCAAGCCUGACCCAGCAACGCCGCGUGAAGGAAGAAGGCUUUCGGGUUGUAAACUUCUUUUGUCAGGGACGAAGCAAGUGACGGUACCUGACGAAUAAGCCACGGCUAACUACGUGCCAGCAGCCGCGGUAAUACGUAGGUGGCAAGCGUUAUCCGGAUUUACUGGGUGUAAAGGGCGUGUAGGCGGGACUGCAAGUCAGAUGUGAAAACCACGGGCUCAACCUGUGGCCUGCAUUUGAAACUGUAGUUCUUGAGUACUGGAGAGGCAGACGGAAUGCCUGGUGUAGCGGUGAAAUGCGUAGAUAUUAGGAGGAACACCAGUGGCGAAGGCGGUCUGCUGGACAGCAACUGACGCUGAGGCACGAAAGCGUGGGUAUCGAACAGGAUUAGAUACCCUAGUAGUC